UGGGGAAUAUUGGGCAAUGGGCGGGAGCCUGAACCAGCCAAGCCGCGUGAGGGAGGAAGGCCCUAUGGGUCGUAAACCUCUUUUGUCAGGGAACAAAAGCGAGUAUGUAUACUAGUCUGAGUGUACCUGAAGAAAAAGCAUCGGCUAACUCCGUGCCAGCAGCCGCGGUAAUACGGAGGAUGCGAGCGUUAUCCGGAUUUAUUGGGUUUAAAGGGUGCGUAGGCGGCGGUGCAAGUCAGCGGUAAAAGCCCGGGGCUCAACCCCGGCGAGCCGUUGAAACUGCAGUGCUAGAGAAGGCGAGAGGUACGCGGAAUGCGCAGUGUAGCGGUGAAAUGCUUAGAUAUUGCGCAGAACUCCGAUUGCGAAGGCAGCGUACUGGCGCCUGACUGACGCUGAGGCACGAAAGCGUGGGGAUCGAACAGGAUUAGAUACC
RNAcentral lists this ribosomal RNA (433 nucleotides) under uncultured bacterium. Its description in RNAcentral is "bacterial SSU rRNA". It matches the Rfam family "Bacterial small subunit ribosomal RNA", at positions 355 to 786 of the family's 1533-position model. The record is from RNAcentral.